ACAUGCGUACAACAUAGCGUUAAUGCACUGGAUCCCAUUAUAACUACGCAGUUAAGCGUGCUCGGGCUAGUGUAGUACUGGGAUGGGUGACCUCCCGGGAAGUCCUAGUAUUUUACAUGCC
This is a non-coding RNA of Picea glauca (white spruce), 121 nucleotides long. The record is from Rfam. Lineage: Eukaryota; Viridiplantae; Streptophyta; Pinopsida; Pinales; Pinaceae.